UAAUUUACUUCCCUUUGUGUCAAGUAGAACUGGUUCACGACAAAGAAGAGCAAUGGUAAACAGGAGGUAUUACAUUAAAAUUGAUUAUUUCACUAUAAAUUCAUAAGCUGACAUAAGUUACUUCCCUUUGUGUCAAGUAGAACUGGUUCACGACAAAGAAGAGCAAUGGUAAACAGGAGGUAUUACAUUCAAAUUGAUUAUUUCACUAUAAAUUCAUAAGCUGACAUAAGUUACUUCCCUUUGUGUCAAGUAGAACUGGUUCACGACAAAGAAGAGCAAUGGUAAACAGGAGGUAUUACAUUCAAAUUGAUUAUUUUACUAUAAAUUUAUAACCUGACAUAAGUUACUUCCCUUUGUGUCAAGUACAACUGGUUCACGACAAAGAAGAGCAAUGGUAAACAGGAGGUAUUACAUUAACAUUGAUUAUUUCAAUAUAAAUUGAUAAGCUGACAUAAGUUACUUCCCUUUGUGUCAAGUAGAACUGGUUCACGACAAAGAAGAGCAAUGGUAAACAGGAGGUAUUACAUUAAAAUUGAUUAUUUCAAUAUAAAUUGAUAAGCUGACAUAAGUUACUUCCCUUUGUGUCAAGUAGAACUGGUUCACGACAAAGAAGAGCAAUGGUAAACAGGAGGUAUUACAUUAAAAUUGAUUAUUUUACUAUAAAUUUAUAACCUGACAUAAGUUACUUCCCUUUGUGUCAAGUACAACUGGUUCACGACAAAGAAGAGCAAUGGUAAACAGGAGGUAUUAC
Long non-coding RNA from Mytilus californianus (California mussel), 751 nucleotides. RefSeq lists it as uncharacterized. The transcript is spliced from 3 exons. Lineage: Eukaryota; Metazoa; Mollusca; Bivalvia; Mytilida; Mytilidae. The record is from RefSeq and is a predicted model, not a curated record.